AGUGGGAUAGCUGGAUCAAAUGGUUCUAUUCCAAGUUUUUGAGGAAUCUUCAUACUGCUUUCCAGAGUGGUUGCAUCAAUUUGAAGUCCCCCCAGCAAU
This 99-nucleotide microRNA precursor is filed under the name Marmota monax (woodchuck). Lineage: Eukaryota; Metazoa; Chordata; Mammalia; Rodentia; Sciuridae. The record is from RNAcentral.